Long non-coding RNA from Arachis duranensis, 739 nucleotides. RefSeq lists it as uncharacterized. The transcript is spliced from 2 exons. Lineage: Eukaryota; Viridiplantae; Streptophyta; Magnoliopsida; Fabales; Fabaceae. The record is from RefSeq and is a predicted model, not a curated record.
AGGGGUUACUUUACCAUUUUUUAAAUUCUUGUUUAUCUGUGCUCACCUUUGAUUAACUUCAAUUAUUUAGCUCUGCUCAUUAAUCGGCCUUUUCAGCAGAAGCUCAAGCUCUUCGUCUCCAUUUUUGAACAUUUCGCUGUUCAUCUCCAUCUUUGAUUGUCACCAAUAAUUGACUGUGCCUGUAAUUCCUACCGACUUGCUACUGUCCUUCUGAUGGCGUCGUCGGCUCGAACAAUGGAUAGAAGGGUGGGCGGAGACGACGAUUUCUUUGCGGGCGUGGGUUUUGCUGACGAAGCAUGAAUGUACGAUGGAGUAGACCAUGGACGAGCUGGAUAAGACGAGGGCGAUGGCUUUGUAGGCUUGGAUUCGGAUGAGUAUGAAUUAGAAGAAGAUGAAAUGGAAUAGUAUCAUUUUGGAAAAUGCCGAUUCCGACAAUGAGGAUGGAAUUGAAUUUGAAUGCAAUUUUAUGAAUGAUGAUUUAUACACCGUUGAUUUUGGAAAAGUGUAAGGUUAGAUUGAUUUUGUGAGCUUGAGCAAGGAGGAAGUUUGAUGCUUUAGUUUUGCAGAUGUUGAAAUUGCAUUUGACUUCUACCAGGCCUAUGCAAAGCGUCAUGAUUUUAGUGGGAGAGAUUCCAGGACUGAAAAGUGUGGCAAAGUGAGGAUACGGCAGGACUUUUGUAAUACUUUAACUUUUAAUACCUUAUAAUUACAUUAAAAGUCUAGGGGCUACUUACUUCUA